UGGCGGACGGGUGAGUAAUGUCUGGGAAACUGCCCGAUGGAGGGGGAUAACUACUGGAAACGGUAGCUAAUACCGCAUAACGUCGCAAGACCAAAGAGGGGGACCUUCGGGCCUCUUGCCAUCGGAUGUGCCCAGAUGGGAUUAGCUAGUAAGUGGGGUAACGGCUCACCUAGGCGACGAUCCCUAGCUGGUCUGAGAGGAUGACCAGCCACACUGGAACUGAGACACGGUCCAG
This 235-nucleotide ribosomal RNA is filed under the name uncultured bacterium. Its description in RNAcentral is "partial 16S ribosomal RNA". It matches the Rfam family "Bacterial small subunit ribosomal RNA", at positions 96 to 334 of the family's 1533-position model. The record is from RNAcentral.